Molecule: transfer RNA, 85 nt
Filed under: Helicobacter sp.
Lineage: Bacteria; Pseudomonadati; Campylobacterota; Epsilonproteobacteria; Campylobacterales; Helicobacteraceae
Also listed under: 2 other names
Description: tRNA-Leu
Rfam family: tRNA
About the family: Transfer RNA (tRNA) molecules are approximately 80 nucleotides in length. Their secondary structure includes four short double-helical elements and three loops (D, anti-codon, and T loops).
Source: RNAcentral
GCGGGAAUGGCGAAAUUGGCAGACGCACCAGACUUAGGAUCUGGCGCCUCACGGCGUGGAGGUUCAAGUCCUCUUUCCCGCACCA